This 736-nucleotide long non-coding RNA is filed under the name Ananas comosus (pineapple). RNAcentral describes it as "long non-coding RNA (ACOM_LNC006470)". Lineage: Eukaryota; Viridiplantae; Streptophyta; Magnoliopsida; Poales; Bromeliaceae. The record is from RNAcentral.
AAAAGGAUAUAUAAAUAUAUAUAUAUAUAUAGGAUUAAUUUUAUACAGAUUCCUACAAACAUAUUGAAUAGCAGAUAUAUUCUUACAAAGUUUAACUUUUAUAAAUUUUUUCUGCAAAAGUUCUAAUGUAUUCAAAUAUGUCCCUCUAGUUAGUAUCAGUUAGAAAACUGUUAAUUUUUUAACAGCAGAGAUGUGAAAUGACUAUUUUGUCCUUGCCCUCUUCCUCUUCCUCUUUCGGCUGUGGGAGCGGAUGGCAGCGGCGACGGCAAUCUUGCGGAGUUUGUCGGGGUUGCGGCCAACGGCGUUGCGGAGCUUGUCGGGUCCACGGCGCGGCCGAUGCGGUCGGAGGCGCGGGUGACGACGGCCCACACGGGCACCACGACGGCAGCGACGACGACGACGAAGAAGAAGAAGGAGGAGAAAAGGAGGAAAAUGAGGAUACGAAGAAGAAUAGGAAGAAGAAGAAGCAGGAGAGAAAGAUGAAGAGGAAGAGGAAGAAGAAGAAGAGAAAGAUGAAUUGGGAUAGAAAUGUUAUUUUACUUUAUUAACUCACUAUAGUUAAGUAUUUUAACUAUGGUUAACUAGAUUUCUCUAACGGAGAUUAACGGCAGGAAUAUAUCUGAAUACAUUAUAAUUUUUGCAAAGAUAACAUGAAAAUUGAAUUUUAUAGGGAUAUAUAUGCUAUUCACCAUAUUUAUAGGGACCUGUAUAAAAUUAAUCAAUAUAUAUAUAUAUA